AAAACCCUACUCUCCACAUUUCACUUCAGCCGCCUCACGCCCUCACCCUCAUUAUUUUCUUUUCUUCUUUACACAGACGCUUGGAUCCAAUUGCCUCAUCCUUGCCGCCGAUCCAAAAAAAAAAAAAAAAAAAAAUCCUGAUCUGAUCUGAUCUGUUCUGCUCUGUUUCUCUGUUACUUGAUUCUCUUUUACUAUAAACUGAUUCUUUUAUUACUUAUACAAAUCGGUACGUUCAUCUUCAGCUUUGUUUUUAAAAAAAGCGAAGAUCGAUCAUCAACGAUCAUGAAACCGGUAGAUCGAAGGAAUGAACUGCCAGAACCUUGACGGCCGCAACAUCACAGUCAACGAGGCUUAGUCUCGUGAUAACGGAGGCGGCGGUGGUGGCGGAGGCUACAGCCGUGGUGGAGGUGGUUACGGAGGCGGCGGACAUCGCGAAGGUGGAGGAUUCGCUUCGGGAUCUGAGGAAAACGUCGUCGUCGUCAUCGGCGGUGGCCCUGGUGGUUACGUGGUCGCCAUCAAAGCCGCUCAGUUGGGUCUGAAGACCACUCCAGCUUUUACUUUCAUACUUGCCAUCAUCUCCAGGAUCAAAAAUCAUCAAAAAAUAUAUGUUCUUUGAUUGCGAAAACCGGAGAUAUCACUUUGUGUCCUUACAAUGAUAAGUGCGGAUUUAGCCACGACGUGGAAGGGUUUAAAGCUCAGAAACCGGAGGAUAUAGAAGGGGAGUGCCCGUUUUUGGAUUCAGAGGAGCCGUGUCCUUAUGGCUUAGCUUGUAGGUUUUUGGGCACGCAUAAAAGUAAAGAUAAAGAUGGUGUUUUGGGUGGUAAGAAGAAGAUGAGUGAUGAGUGUAAUGGGUUGAAUAAGGAUGUAUAGAAGCUUUUGUGGAAAAAUAAAAUGAAAUUUCCCAAGGCUGAUGCCAAGCUCAAAGCUCUUGGUCUCCUGGUAACUAUGCUAAGAUUUUACUUUUCUACUUAAAAUGCAUUUAUGUAUUUGUAUUUUUAUCUUGCAUACUACCUUCAUUGUUAUUUAGAAAGAGAAGCUUGUAAAGAUUUUUGUACGGGUUUUAUUGAUUUAGAGAGUGUGUAUGAUAGAGACUAUAGACUACGUAGAGAGAUUAUGGGGUGGGUUUAGAUAAGAUUAAGGAUAUGUACAACGCUAGUUGUAACUGGCGUGAGAACAAAUGGAUCGAUAAUUCAUAUUCAUCUUUUUCUCUUGCA
Long non-coding RNA from Quercus robur (English oak), 1214 nucleotides. RefSeq lists it as uncharacterized. The record is from RefSeq and is a predicted model, not a curated record. Lineage: Eukaryota; Viridiplantae; Streptophyta; Magnoliopsida; Fagales; Fagaceae. The transcript is spliced from 4 exons.